RNAcentral lists this ribosomal RNA (466 nucleotides) under uncultured bacterium. RNAcentral describes it as "partial 16S ribosomal RNA". It matches the Rfam family "Bacterial small subunit ribosomal RNA", at positions 28 to 507 of the family's 1533-position model. The record is from RNAcentral.
GAUGAACGCUGGCGGCGUGCUUAACACAUGCAAGUCGAACGAUGAAGCCCAGCUUGCUGGGUGGGUUAGUGGCGAACGGGUGAGUAACACGUGAGUAACCUGCCCUUAACUCUGGGAUAAGCCUGGGAAACUGGGUCUAAUACCGGAUAGGAGCGUCCACCGCACGGUGGGUGUUGGAAAGAUUUGUCGGUUUUGGAUGGACUCGCGGCCUAUCAGCUUGUUGGUGGGGUAAUGGCUCACCAAGGCGACGACGGGUAGCCGGCCUGAGAGGGUGACCGGCCACACUGGGACUGAGACACGGCCCAGACUCCUACGGGAGGCAGCAGUGGGGAAUAUUGCACAAUGGGCGCAAGCCUGAUGCAGCGACGCCGCGUGAGGGAUGACGGCCUUCGGGUUGUAAACCGCUUUCAGUAGGGAAGAAGCGAAAGUGACGGUACCUGCAGAAGAAGCACCGGCUAACUACGUG